CGGCUCCAGUAAUACAUGAAUCUUCUACCACAUGCUGGCCGCUGGCCAAUGAUAUUAGAAUACUUGGCUGGAUCGUUCCAUACAAUGGUCGAAUCAAGAUUUGCAACACUAAUAAGCGCUCAAGAAAAAACCUCAAAAUUAUGUCCACAUAUCCUUGAGAAAUGCAACACUCAAACACAACUACAGUCCACAUAUCCUUAAGAAACGCAAACAAUUAGUCAUUUCAGGCUUACAAACAACAAAAUCAUCUGCUCAAGCCCUAAAGCAUACUAACAACACACCUCCCUGAUUUCCCUAUAUAGAAUAAUAGACCAUAUGGCCUCACCUAUAGCCACGAUAAGGAGAAUAGGGUGAUCUGGACCUUUCCCUCCUUGACCUUCCACCAUAGGGAGGAGAGUGCCUGGGAGAAUAAUCACGACCCCCACGAUAAUGAGAGCGCCUAGGAGACCUACGAUAAUCAUCAUAGCCACGAUUCCUACCACGAUCUCCAUGAUGGCCAUAGUCCCCACUACUUUUCAGCCCAAGAUAGUGUCCUGGUGUUGGAGUUCUUCCUCGUUUCCUCCGUGACUGAAAGAUAAACAAAUCACCUCAAUUCUACAAAUCAAAAUGAUAAAUAUUUAAACGCCACAAAAACUAGCAAUUUUUUUUUUCUCCCCAAAAGGACGGGCACUAAAACUUGAAUUUUUUUCCCCCGAAUUGAGAGAUGCACCUAACAUAAGGCCAAGCCCAGGUUCACAAUAACUAGAAAUUUGAUAUCUACACAAGCAUAUUAACAUACACAAAAAGUUGCAUUAAGAAGGCACAGAAAAGGAGUAAAAAAGUUGUAUUAAGAAGUCAAUAUCUACACAUGCAUAUAAACAUAAAUAUUCACUUGAAAAUGUCCUGGAAGGAGGCAAAACAAGCUACCAAAGAAAAAUAAGAAAACAACUAUGCACACAUUACUAGUUUUUAUUAACUAAGUGCCAGGUAUUAUAAAAUACCAUAAGCCUGAUUAGAAAGUUGUUGAUAAUGUCCUUGAUUAGUUGAGGGUUGAAAUUGAAUGCUGAAGUUGUAUAGUUGUUGAACAAUAUAGUUGCUAUGUUUAGUUGAUCACAAGCAUUUGAAAAGCUGUUUAAGCUGGCCAUUGAUCAAGCUGUUUCACUUAAGUUGACAUGGAUGAACUGAUCAUCUUUGAUAGCUGCCAACAUAGCUGACAAUAUCUUCUGAAUAUAACCAGAAAACCUCCAAGUUAAGAAGAAGGACCCAGUCAAAACCGACUCACGUUCAAGACCAGGGGUACAAUAACAUUACCUUCUCCACUGUUAUAUAUCUGCCCUCUAGAACUGAUUGAUUGAGAUACUUAACACAGCGGUUUGCAUCCUCAACACUGUCCAUUGUUACAAAAGCAAAACCACGAGAAAUGCGUGUACGGGGCUCCACAACAAGAAAACACGAUACAACCUUUCCCUCUUUAGAGAAAUGCUCUUCUAGGUCCCUUUCUGUGACUCUUGUAGACAGACCAGUCACAUAUAAUGUGUUUCCUGGAUUCACAGCAUCACUCCUGCCACGGCUUCUAGACCUUGAUCUGCCAUGACUUCGGGACCGGGAUCUAUGCCUCAGCCGGGACAAUGAUCUAGAUCUUAACCUGGAACGUGAUCCUGACCUAGACCUUGACUGUUCUCUCCAAGGGGAAAGUGACUGUGAAUUCCUUUUUCCAGGAGAAUCCGCCAUUUUGACCCCAAACGCAAGAAUCGGAAAGGUAGAGCCUGAAAGUUAGGGUUAUGAAGUUUUUGCACGGAGCGCGAUUUCUUGUCGUUACAUACAAGAGAAAGGAUACAAAUAUCCACUACGUGGCCCUC
RNAcentral lists this unclassified non-coding RNA (1838 nucleotides) under Hevea brasiliensis (rubber tree). The record is from RNAcentral. Lineage: Eukaryota; Viridiplantae; Streptophyta; Magnoliopsida; Malpighiales; Euphorbiaceae.